CAAGGCUUGACAUAUAGAGGAAAAGUGCAGAAAUGCACUCCCCGCAAGGUCUCUAUACAGGUGGUGCAUGGUUGUCGUCAGCUCGUGUCGUGAGAUGUUGGGUUAAGUCCCGCAACGAGCGCAACCCUCGUCCUAUGUUGCCAGCACGUUAUGGUGGGAACUCAUGGGAUACUGCCGGGGUCAACUCGGAGGAAGGUGGGGAUGACGUCAAAUCAUCAUGCCCCUUAUGUCUUGGGCUUCACGCAUGCUACAAUGGCCGGUACAGAGGGCUGCAAUACCGCAAGGUGGAGCGAAUCCCAAAAAGCCGGUCUCAGUUCGGAUUGAGGUCUGCAACUCGACCUCAUGAAGUCGGAGUCGCUAGUAAUCGUAGAUCAGCAACGCUACGGUGAAUACGUUCCCGGGUCUGUACACACCGAAUCUAGAUGCAUCGGAGCGAC
Molecule: ribosomal RNA, 437 nt
Filed under: uncultured bacterium
Lineage: Bacteria
Description: bacterial SSU rRNA
Rfam family: Bacterial small subunit ribosomal RNA
Source: RNAcentral